UAGGGAAUAUUGCAAAAUGGGCGAAAGCCCGAUGCAGCAACGCCGCGUGGGCGAUGAAGGCCUUCGGGUCGUAAAGCCCUUUUUGAGGGGAUGAGGAAGGACAGUACCCUCAGAAUAAGCCUCGGCUAACUACGUGCCAGCAGCCGCGGUAAAACGUAGGAGGCGAGCGUUAUCCGGAUUUACUGGGCGUAAAGCGCGUGCAGGCGGAUUGGAGAGCUGGAUGUGAAAGCUCCCGGCUUAACUGGGAGAGGUCGUUCAAUACUUCCAGUCUUGAGUGCAGUAGAGGGAAGUGGAAUUCCGAGUGUAGUGGUGAAAUGCGUAGAUAUCCGGAGGAACACCAGUGGCGAAAGCGGCUUCCUGGACUGUAACUGACGCUCAGACGCGAAAGCUAGGGUAGCA
This 399-nucleotide ribosomal RNA is filed under the name uncultured bacterium. Its description in RNAcentral is "bacterial SSU rRNA". It matches the Rfam family "Bacterial small subunit ribosomal RNA", at positions 355 to 770 of the family's 1533-position model. The record is from RNAcentral.